UANGGAAUCUUCCGCAAUGGACGCAAGUCUGACGGAGCAACGCCGCGUGAGUGAAGAAGGUUUUCGGAUCGUAAAACUCUGUUGUUAGAGAAGAACAAGUGCUAGAGUAACUGUUAGCGCCUUGACGGUAUCUAACCAGAAAGCCACGGCUAACUACGUGCCAGCAGCCGCGGUAAUACGUAGGUGGCAAGCGUUGUCCGGAUUUAUUGGGCGUAAAGCGAGCGCAGGCGGUUCCUUAAGUCUGAUGUGAAAGCCCCCGGCUCAACCGGGGAGGGUCAUUGGAAACUGGGGAACUUGAGUGCAGAAGAGGAGAGUGGAAUUCCAUGUGUAGCGGUGAAAUGCGUAGAUAUAUGGAGGAACACCAGUGGCGAAGGCGACUCUCUGGUCUGUAACUGACGCUGAGGCUCGAAAGCGUGGGUAGCAAACAGGAUUAGAUACCCUGGUAGUCCACGCCGUAAACGAUGAGUGCUAAGUGUUGGAGGGUUUCCGCCCUUCAGUGCUGCAGUUAACGCAUUAAGCACUCCGCCUGGGGAGUACGACCGCAAGGUUG
RNAcentral lists this ribosomal RNA (550 nucleotides) under uncultured bacterium. RNAcentral describes it as "bacterial SSU rRNA". It matches the Rfam family "Bacterial small subunit ribosomal RNA", at positions 355 to 896 of the family's 1533-position model. The record is from RNAcentral.